UCAAAUGAAUUGACGGGGGCCCGCACAAGCGGUGGAGCAUGUGGUUUAAUUCGAUGCAACGCGAAGAACCUUACCUACUCUUGACAUCCAGAGAACUUAGCAGAGAUGCUUUGGUGCCUUCGGGAACUCUGAGACAGGUGCUGCAUGGCUGUCGUCAGCUCGUGUUGUGAAAUGUUGGGUUAAGUCCCGCAACGAGCGCAACCCUUAUCCUUUGUUGCCAGCG
Molecule: ribosomal RNA, 223 nt
Filed under: Klebsiella michiganensis
Lineage: Bacteria; Pseudomonadati; Pseudomonadota; Gammaproteobacteria; Enterobacterales; Enterobacteriaceae
Description: partial 16S ribosomal RNA
Rfam family: Bacterial small subunit ribosomal RNA
Source: RNAcentral